GGCCUGCGCGGGGUAGGAGGCUUGUGUGUCUGCAGGCUAGCCCCUGCGUGUAGGGUAGGAGGCCUGUGCGCUUGCAAGCUAGCUUGCAACGUAUUGGCCGGGACAUUGCCACCACCGUUGGUGGAGGAAACUCUCCUCCCUCAUUUUUUAUGCUAAGUAUCUUUUUCUCCUCUCUCUUCACCGAAUUUUAUCACUUGGCACAAAUCUGAAGGUUCUAGAAUUUUAUAAAUUGAUCUUUCCACUUCCAUUC
This 250-nucleotide long non-coding RNA is filed under the name Carica papaya (papaya). Its description in RNAcentral is "long non-coding RNA (CPAP_LNC005291)". Lineage: Eukaryota; Viridiplantae; Streptophyta; Magnoliopsida; Brassicales; Caricaceae. The record is from RNAcentral.